This 28-nucleotide small RNA is filed under the name Bombyx mori (domestic silkworm). RNAcentral describes it as "ovarian small RNA-29451". Lineage: Eukaryota; Metazoa; Arthropoda; Insecta; Lepidoptera; Bombycidae. The record is from RNAcentral.
UCUACGAAGUGUUGGCUUCGGCGGUGGU